AUCUCACCACACUAUGGAUUUAAUCCUGGUUAAGUAUGUUGCCUGUGGCACCCUUAAACACUUGCAAUUUACUGACGUCAUGUCUCACAUGCAUGCCUAACAUUGGACCUGGAUGUGGAUGAGGAGGAAGCAAAUAGAAAAACACAUGAGGUUUUUUCAGCACUUCAUAUGCAUCACCUCCACACUUCCCAGAGCUACAAAUCUAAACUCAUGGUCUAUCUUGGCCCUGGUAUUUUGAUUCCAUUCUGACCACCAGGGAUCUGAAUGCUGCUCAGCUCCAUGCAAGAUAACAUAUUUAUCAGCAUAUGACACGCACAUUUAACUCCUGAAAAGCUUUCUGUUAAAGACGGAAGAAAGAGUGAAGUUAAUGUUGAAGAUAAAGUUCUUAAAGGGUCCCAGUAAGUUGCAGUUUGCGCAGUCCUCCUUGAUAUAUCAAUCCCCCUUCAAAUCACAGUGUCCCUUUCACAGUCACGUUCUAAAGAUCAUGCACUUACCCUGAGGAGGAGCAAUGGUCCUGCCAGAAGCCGAUGCUGGAGGGUCUUGAAUGCAGCUUUCUGUUAAAGACGGAAGAAAGAGUGAAGAGUCAAGCUCUAUGAUUUUGACCCCUGCUGCUGAAUCCAGGGACAUCCUCUGACA
Molecule: long non-coding RNA, 636 nt
Organism: Rana temporaria (common frog)
Lineage: Eukaryota; Metazoa; Chordata; Amphibia; Anura; Ranidae
Exons: 7
Source: RefSeq, a predicted model, not a curated record